Molecule: transfer RNA, 73 nt
Filed under: Bacillus cereus
Lineage: Bacteria; Bacillati; Bacillota; Bacilli; Caryophanales; Bacillaceae
Also listed under: 3 other names
Description: tRNA-Val
Rfam family: tRNA
About the family: Transfer RNA (tRNA) molecules are approximately 80 nucleotides in length. Their secondary structure includes four short double-helical elements and three loops (D, anti-codon, and T loops).
Source: RNAcentral
GGAUUAGCUCAGCUGGGAGAGCACCUGCCUUACAAGCAGGGGGUCGGCGGUUCGAUCCCGUCAUCCUCCACCA